UUGAAGUCAAGAACCUGUUGCCAAGAGAGGGGAGGAGCUUGUAAAGAAGAAGACUUCUAUUACAAAUUUAGAUAGUUCAAAGUUGCUAAACAGAUUGUUUUUACUCUUCAAUGGUUCUUCUGCAGCUGAAAAUCUUCCUCCAGAAUCUACAGUUACUCCCGUGAAUAAUGCAUUGAAAGCAAAACUGAUGUCUGUUUUCUGUCGGUCUAUCACUGCAGCAAAUAGUUUUCCAUCAACUCUGCAGUGCAUUUUUGGCUGCAUAUAUGGAAGUGGUAGCACCUCAAGGUUGAAGCAGUUGGCAUGCAAUUUACUGUCUGGGUAUUUAAACAUGCAACAAUUGAUCAACUGAAGCUUAUGGGACCUGUUAUCCUUAAUGGGGUUCUGAAAUUACUUGAUGGAUUUUCAAACUUAGAGUCAGAUAUUAUUGCGAGAGAGACCAAAACUUUUUCUUUCCAAGCAAUUGGAUUACUUGCACAGCGUCUUCCUCAACUUUUCAGAGACAAGAUUGACAUGGCUAUUCGGCUUUUCAAUGCACUGAAAUUAGAGACGCAAUCUCUUCGUUUUGUUAUUCAGAGCAACUAAUUUACUUGCUUCUGCCUAUAAGGUAUGCUAAUUUGCU
This is a non-coding RNA of Carica papaya (papaya), 619 nucleotides long. Lineage: Eukaryota; Viridiplantae; Streptophyta; Magnoliopsida; Brassicales; Caricaceae. The record is from RefSeq and is a predicted model, not a curated record.